CCUACGGGAGGCAGCAGUGAGGCAUAUUGGUCAAUGGGCGCAAGCCUGAACCAGCCAAGUCGCGUGAGGGAUGACGGUCCUAUGGAUUGUAAACCUCUUUUGUCGGGGAGCAAGGCCCGACAUGUGUGGCGGGAAGGAGAGUACCCGAAGAAAAAGCAUCGGCUAACCCCGUGCCAGCAGCCGCGGUAAUACGGAGGAUGCGAGCGUUAUCCGGAUUUAUUGGGUUUAAAGGGUGCGUAGGCGGAAGGUUAAGUCAGCGGUAAAAUGUCGGUGCUCAACACCGGCCUGCCGUUGAAACUGGUCUUCUUGAGUGAGCGAGAAGUAUGCGGAAUGCGUGGUGUAGCGGUGAAAUGCAUAGAUAUCACGCAGAACUCCGAUUGCGAAGGCAGCAUACCGGCGCUCAACUGACGCUGAGGCACGAAAGCGUGGGGAUCGAACAGGAUUAGAUACCCUGGUAGUC
RNAcentral lists this ribosomal RNA (460 nucleotides) under uncultured bacterium. RNAcentral's name for it is "partial 16S ribosomal RNA". It matches the Rfam family "Bacterial small subunit ribosomal RNA", at positions 338 to 795 of the family's 1533-position model. The record is from RNAcentral.